CAUCAUUUUGAGCAGAGUUAUUUUCUUGCACACAAGAUUACUGCUCAGACUACCGGUGACGGUGGUAACACUGUGAAGCGGUUGGACCAUAGUGUUUGCUUGCAAACGAGUUCCUUUCUUGCACAAGUGUCGUGUCAACUGUGCAACAGCGGCAAUCAAGUAGCGUCCCAGCCACUACAGUUGCGUUUGCUAUUGCACUGGCCAGUAGCACGUUGUCCUGUAUUAAUAUGAACUGC
Molecule: long non-coding RNA, 236 nt
Organism: Ornithodoros turicata
Lineage: Eukaryota; Metazoa; Arthropoda; Arachnida; Ixodida; Argasidae
Exons: 4
Source: RefSeq, a predicted model, not a curated record